CACUAUCGUUAACUGAAUACAUAGGUUAACGAGGCGAACCGGGGGAACUGAAACAUCUAAGUACCCCGAGGAAAAGAAAUCAACCGAGAUUCCCCCAGUAGCGGCGAGCGAACGGGGAGCAGCCCAGAGUCUGAAUCAGCUUGUGUGUUAGUGGAACGGUCUGGAAAGUCCGACGGUACAGGGUGAUAGUCCCGUACACCAAAAUGCACAGGUUGUGAACUCGAAGAGUAGGGCGGGACACGUGGUAUCCUGUCUGAAUAUGGGGGGACCAUCCUCCAAGGCUAAAUACUCCUGACUGACCGAUAGUGAACCAGUACCGUGAGGGAAAGGCGAAAAGAACCCCGGCGAGGGGAGUGAAAAAGAACCUGAAACCGUGUACGUACAAGCAGUGGGAGCACCUUCGGGUGUGACUGCGUACCUUUUGUAUAAUGGGUCAGCGACUUAUAUUCUGUAGCAAGGUUAACCGUAUAGGGGAGCCGCAGGGAAACCGAGUCUUAACUGGGCGUUAAGUUGCAGGGUAUAGACCCGAAACCCGGUGAUCUAGCCAUGGGCAGGUUGAAGGUUGGGUAACACUAACUGGAGGACCGAACCGACUAAUGUUGAAAAAUUAGCGGAUGACUUGUGGCUGGGGGUGAAAGGCCAAUCAAACCGGGAGAUAGCUGGUUCUCCCCGAAAGCUAUUUAGGUAGCGCCUCGUGAACUCAUCUUCGGGGGUAGAGCACUGUUUCGGCUAGGGGGUCAUCCCGACUUACCAACCCGAUGCAAACUACGAAUACCGAAGAAUGUUAUCACGGGAGACACACGGCGGGUGCUAACGUCCGUCGUGAAGAGGGAAACAACCCAGACCGCCAGCUAAGGUCCCAAAGUCAUGGUUAAGUGGGAAACGAUGUGGGAAGGCACAGACAGCCAGGAUGUUGGCUUAGAAGCAGCCAUCAUUUAAAGAAAGCGUAAUAGCUCACUGGUCGAGUCGGCCUGCGCGGAAGAUGUAACGGGGCUAAACCAUGCACCGAAGCUGCGGCAGCGACACUAUGUGUUGUUGGGUAGGGGAGCGUUCUGUAAGCCUGCGAAGGUGNUGCUGGAGGUAUCAGAAGUGCGAAUGCUGACAUAAGUAACGAUAAAGCGGGUGAAAAGCCCGCUCGCCGGAAGACCAAGGGUUCCUGUCCAACGUUAAUCGGGGCAGGGUGAGUCGACCCCUAAGGCGAGGCCGAAAGGCGUAGUCGAUGGGAAACAGGUUAAUAUUCCUGUACUUGGUGUUACUGCGAAGGGGGGACGGAGAAGGCUAUGUUAGCCGGGCGACGGUUGUCCCGGUUUAAGCAUGUAGGCUGAUUAUCCAGGCAAAUCCGGAUAAUCAAGGCUGAGGUGUGAUGACGAGGCACUACGGUGCUGAAGUAACAAAUGCCCUGCUUCCAGGAAAAGCCUCUAAGCAUCAGGUAACAUUAAAUCGUACCCCAAACCGACACAGGUGGUCAGGUAGAGAAUACCAAGGCGCUUGAGAGAACUCGGGUGAAGGAACUAGGCAAAAUGGUGCCGUAACUUCGGGAGAAGGCACGCUGGUGUGUAGGUGAAGCCCCUGCGGGUGGAGCUGAGACCAGUCGAAGAUACCAGCUGGCUGCAACUGUUUAUUAAAAACACAGCACUGUGCAAACACGAAAGUGGACGUAUACGGUGUGACGCCUGCCCGGUGCCGGAAGGUUAAUUGAUGGGGUUAUCCGUAAGGAGAAGCUCUUGAUCGAAGCCCCGGUAAACGGCGGCCGUAACUAUAACGGUCCUAAGGUAGCGAAAUUCCUUGUCGGGUAAGUUCCGACCUGCACGAAUGGCGUAAUGAUGGCCAGGCUGUCUCCACCCGAGACUCAGUGAAAUUGAACUCGCUGUGAAGAUGCAGUGUACCCGCGGCAAGACGGAAAGACCCCGUGAACCUUUACUAUAGCUUGACACUGAACAUUGAGCCUUGAUGUGUAGGAUAGGUGGGAGGCUUUGAAGCGUGGACGCCAGUCUGCGUGGAGCCAACCUUGAAAUACCACCCUUUAAUGUUUGAUGUUCUAACGUUGGCCCCUGACCGGGGUUGCGGACAGUGUCUGGUGGGUAGUUUGACUGGGGCGGUCUCCUCCCAAAGCGUAACGGAGGAGCACGAAGGUUAGCUAAUCCUGGUCGGACAUCAGGAGGUUAGUGCAAUGGCAUAAGCUAGCUUGACUGCGAGCGUGACGGCGCGAGCAGGUGCGAAAGCAGGUCAUAGUGAUCCGGUGGUUCUGAAUGGAAGGGCCAUCGCUCAACGGAUAAAAGGUACUCCGGGGAUAACAGGCUGAUACCGCCCAAGAGUUCAUAUCGACGGCGGUGUUUGGCACCUCGAUGUCGGCUCAUCACAUCCUGGGGCUGAAGUAGGUCCCAAGGGUAUGGCUGUUCGCCAUUUAAAGUGGUACGCGAGCUGGGUUUAGAACGUCGUGAGACAGUUCGGUCCCUAUCUGCCGUGGGCGCUGGAGAAUUGAGGGGGGCUGCUCCUAGUACGAGAGGACCGGAGUGGACGCAUCACUGGUGUUCGGGUUGUCAUGCCAAUGGCACUGCCCGGUAGCUAAAUGCGGAAGAGAUAAGUGCUGAAAGCAUCUAAGCACGAAACUUGCCCCGAGAUGAGUUCUCCCUGAGACUUUAAGUCUCCUGAAGGAACGUUGAAGACGACGACGUUGAUAGGCCGGGUGUGUAAGCGCAGCGAUGCGUUGAGCUAACCGGUACUAAUGAACCGUGAGGCUUAACCUU
This 2747-nucleotide ribosomal RNA is filed under the name Klebsiella pneumoniae. RNAcentral describes it as "23S ribosomal RNA". It matches the Rfam family "Bacterial large subunit ribosomal RNA". The record is from RNAcentral. Lineage: Bacteria; Pseudomonadati; Pseudomonadota; Gammaproteobacteria; Enterobacterales; Enterobacteriaceae.